GGCUCAGAACGAACGUUAGCGGUUCGCCUAACACAUGCAAGUCGCACGAGAAAGGGCUUCGGCCCCGGUAAGGUGGCGCACGGGUGAGUAACACGUAGGUAAUCUCCCCUCGAGUGGUGGAUAACCCUCCGAAAGGAGAGCUAAUACAGCAUGAGACCACGAGCUCUUCGGAGCUUGCGGCCAAAGCAGGCCUCUACAUGUAAGCUUGCGCUGGAGGAUGAGCCUGCGGCCCAUCAGGUAGUUGGCAGGGUAACGGCCUACCAAGCCUAAGACGGGUAGCUGGUCUGAGAGGAUGAACAGCCACACUGGAACUGACACACGGUCCAGACUCCUACGGGAGGCAGCAGUGGGGAAUCUUGCGCAAUGGGCGAAAGCCUGACGCAGCGACGCCGCGUGAGCGAUGAAGGCCUUCGGGUUGUAAAGCUCUGUGGGGAGGGAAGAAUAAGGGCUGGCUAAUAUCCAGUCUGAUGACGGUACCUCCUUAGCAAGCACCGGCUAACUCUGUGCCAGCAGCCGCGGUAAUACAGAGGGUGCAAACGUUGUUCGGAAUUACUGGGCGUAAAGCGCGUGCAGGCGGCCUUGCAAGUCGGACGUGAAAUCCCACGGCUCAACCGUGGAAGGGCAUUCGAAACUGCGAGGCUGGAGUCCUGGAGAGGAAAGUGGAAUACUCGGUGUAGAGGUGAAAUUCGUAGAUAUCGAGUGGAACACCGGUGGCGAAGGCGGCUUUCUGGACAGGUACUGACGCUGAGACGCGAAAGCGUGGGGAGCAAACAGGAUUAGAUACCCUGGUAGUCCACGCCGUAAACGAUGAGUGCUAGGUGUCACGGGCUUUGACCCUCGU
This 841-nucleotide ribosomal RNA is filed under the name uncultured bacterium. RNAcentral's name for it is "bacterial SSU rRNA". It matches the Rfam family "Bacterial small subunit ribosomal RNA", at positions 21 to 841 of the family's 1533-position model. The record is from RNAcentral.